This 822-nucleotide ribosomal RNA is filed under the name uncultured archaeon. RNAcentral describes it as "bacterial SSU rRNA". It matches the Rfam family "Archaeal small subunit ribosomal RNA", at positions 45 to 875 of the family's 1478-position model. The record is from RNAcentral.
UAAGCCUGCGAGUCGAGAGGUGAAAGACCUCGGCAUACUGCUCAGUAACACGUGGUUAAUCUGCCCUUGGGUGGGGAAUACUCCCGGGAAACUGGGGCUAAUACCCCAUAGUGAAUGCGCGUUGGAAUACCGCAUUCUCGAAAGAUUCAUUCGCCCAAGGAUGAGACUGCGUCCGAUUAGGUAGUUGGUGGGGUAACGGCCCACCAAGCCUGUUAUCGGUACGGGUUGUGGGAGCAAGAUCCCGGAGAUGGAUUCUGAGACAUGAAUCCAGGCCCUACGGGGCGCAGCAGGCGCGCAAACUUUACAAUGCGAGCAAUCGUGAUAAGGAAACCCUGAGUGCCUGUCGAUGCAGGCUGUUCAUAUAUCUAAAUCGUAUGUGAAGAAAGGGCAGGGCAAGACCGGUGCCAGCCGCCGCGGUAAUACCGGCUGCUCGAGUGAUGGCCACUAUUACUGGGUUUAAAGCGUCCGUAGCUUGAUUGUUAGGUCUCUUGGGAAAUCUUCUGGCUUAACCAAAAGGCGUCUAAGAGAUACCGGCAAUCUAGGAACUGGGAGAGGUAAGCCGUACUUCGGGGGUAGGAGUGAAAUCUUGUAAUCCUCGAGGGACGACCUAUGGCGAAGGCAGCUUACCAGAACAGCUUCGACAGUGAGGGACGAAAGCUGGGGGAGCAAACGGGAUUAGAUACCCCGGUAGUCCCAGCCGUAAACAAUGUGCGUUAGGUGUGUCGGUUACCACGCGUAACUGAUGCGCCGAAGAGAAAUCGUGAAACGCACCACCUGGGAAGUACGGUCGCAAGGCUGAAACUUAAAGGAAUUGGCGGGGGA